Long non-coding RNA from Tympanuchus pallidicinctus (lesser prairie-chicken), 304 nucleotides. RefSeq lists it as uncharacterized. The record is from RefSeq and is a predicted model, not a curated record. Lineage: Eukaryota; Metazoa; Chordata; Aves; Galliformes; Phasianidae. The transcript has 3 exons.
GUUUUUGUUAAUGUCAGAAGAUAUUUGCUUGAAGCCCUAGAGAAUUUCUCAGGCCUUGGGAUUUAUCAACCAAAACAUCUCUGUAAGUGCCCCAGCAUCAUCAACUGAUGGCAGCACAGCUCUGGGAAUAAACAGACUUUAGCUAAUGGCAGGAAUCGACAGGGAAAACAUGAAACAGAGAAAGCAAUACCAGGAUAGCAGCACUGUCAUUUCCAAGAUGUGGACACUGUCUCCUGCAACAGAAUAGCAGCAGCAGGGCUGGUUUCAGCAGAUCACUGCAUUUGAAGGCAUAUUUUGAUAGAAU